This 600-nucleotide ribosomal RNA is filed under the name uncultured Alphaproteobacteria bacterium. RNAcentral's name for it is "bacterial SSU rRNA". It matches the Rfam family "Bacterial small subunit ribosomal RNA", at positions 54 to 699 of the family's 1533-position model. Lineage: Bacteria; Pseudomonadati; Pseudomonadota; Alphaproteobacteria. The record is from RNAcentral.
CAUGCAAGUCGAACGAAGUAGCAAUACUUAGUGGCAGACGGGUGAGUAACAUGUGGGUAUCUACCUUUUGGCCUGGAAUAACACGAGGAAACUUGUGCUAAUACUGGAUAAGUCUUUACGGAGAAAGCUUUAUGCACCAUUGGAUGAGCCCGCACUUGAUUAGUUUGUUGGUAGGGUAAUGGCCUACCAAGACUGUGAUCAAUAGCUGAUUUGAGAGGAUGAUCAGCCACAUUGGGACUGAGACACGGCCCAAACUCCUACGGGAGGCAGCAGUGGGGAAUCUUGCACAAUGGAGGAAACUCUGAUGCAGCGAUGCCGUGUGAGUGAAGAAGGCCCUUGGGUUGUAAAGCCCUUUCGUCGGGGAAGAAAGUGACUGUACCCGAAUAAGAAGGUCCGGCUAACUUCGUGCCAGCAGCCGCGGUAAUACGAAGGGACCUAGCGUAGUUCGGAAUUACUGGGCUUAAAGAGUUCGUAGGUGGUUGAAAAAGUUGGUGGUGAAAUCCCAGAGCUUAACUCUGGAACUGCCAUCAAAACUUUUCAGCUAGAGUUUGAUAGAGGAAAGCAGAAUUUCUAGUGUAGAGGUGAAAUUCGUAGAUAUUA